RNAcentral lists this ribosomal RNA (856 nucleotides) under Cellulomonas sp. RNAcentral's name for it is "bacterial SSU rRNA". It matches the Rfam family "Bacterial small subunit ribosomal RNA", at positions 578 to 1433 of the family's 1533-position model. Lineage: Bacteria; Bacillati; Actinomycetota; Actinomycetes; Micrococcales; Cellulomonadaceae. The record is from RNAcentral.
GUUUGUCGCGUCUGCUGUGAAAACUCGAGGCUCAACCUCGGGCUUGCAGUGGGUACGGGCAGACUAGAGUGCGGUAGGGGAGACUGGAAUUCCUGGUGUAGCGGUGGAAUGCGCAGAUAUCAGGAGGAACACCGAUGGCGAAGGCAGGUCUCUGGGCCGCAACUGACGCUGAGGAGCGAAAGCAUGGGGAGCGAACAGGAUUAGAUACCCUGGUAGUCCAUGCCGUAAACGUUGGGCACUAGGUGUGGGGCUCAUUCCACGAGUUCCGUGCCGCAGCAAACGCAUUAAGUGCCCCGCCUGGGGAGUACGGCCGCAAGGCUAAAACUCAAAGAAAUUGACGGGGGCCCGCACAAGCGGCGGAGCAUGCGGAUUAAUUCGAUGCAACGCGAAGAACCUUACCAAGGCUUGACAUACACCGGAAACUUCCAGAGAUGGUUGCCCCGCAAGGUCGGUGUACAGGUGGUGCAUGGUUGUCGUCAGCUCGUGUCGUGAGAUGUUGGGUUAAGUCCCGCAACGAGCGCAACCCUCGUCCUAUGUUGCCAGCACGUGAUGGUGGGGACUCAUAGGAGACUGCCGGGGUCAACUCGGAGGAAGGUGGGGAUGACGUCAAAUCAUCAUGCCCCUUAUGUCUUGGGCUUCACGCAUGCUACAAUGGCCGGUACAAAGGGCUGCGAUACCGCGAGGUGGAGCGAAUCCCAAAAAGCCGGUCUCAGUUCGGAUUGGGGUCUGCAACUCGACCCCAUGAAGUCGGAGUCGCUAGUAAUCGCAGAUCAGCAACGCUGCGGUGAAUACGUUCCCGGGCCUUGUACACACCGCCCGUCAAGUCACGAAAGUCGGUAACACCCGAAGCCGGUGG